UGAAGAGUGUGUGUGUGUGCACGUGGGUAUGUAUAUGCAUACACACACACACACACACACACACACACACACACACACAUAU
Molecule: microRNA precursor, 82 nt
Filed under: Myotis lucifugus (little brown bat)
Lineage: Eukaryota; Metazoa; Chordata; Mammalia; Chiroptera; Vespertilionidae
Description: miRNA (ENSMLUG00000020358.2)
Source: RNAcentral